Molecule: microRNA precursor, 98 nt
Filed under: Drosophila simulans
Lineage: Eukaryota; Metazoa; Arthropoda; Insecta; Diptera; Drosophilidae
Description: microRNA dsi-mir-968 precursor
Gene: dsi-mir-968
Rfam family: mir-968 microRNA precursor family (bases 12-90)
Source: miRBase by way of RNAcentral
UUGUUCAUGGAAGCUUCCUUAAGUAGUAUCCAUUAAAGGGUUGUUCUCAACAUGCAAAUCAACCGUUUGAUGUACUACUUUAGGAAUCUACAGUCAAA